This 148-nucleotide non-coding RNA is filed under the name Gorilla gorilla gorilla (western lowland gorilla). Lineage: Eukaryota; Metazoa; Chordata; Mammalia; Primates; Hominidae. The record is from Rfam by way of RNAcentral.
GCCAGGCAUGGUGGUGCAUGCCUGUAGUCCCAGCUACUCGAGAGGCUGAAGCAGGAGGAUUGCUUGAGCCCAGGAGUUCGAUGUUGCAGUGAGCUCUAAUUGCACCACUGCACUCCAGCCUGGGCAACAGAGCAAGAACUUGUCUUUA